RNAcentral lists this ribosomal RNA (621 nucleotides) under unidentified microorganism. RNAcentral's name for it is "bacterial SSU rRNA". It matches the Rfam family "Bacterial small subunit ribosomal RNA", at positions 49 to 653 of the family's 1533-position model. The record is from RNAcentral.
CUAUACAUGCAAGUCGAGCGGACAGAAGGGAGCUUGCUCCCGGAUGUUAGCGGCGGACGGGUGAGUAACACGUGGGUAACCUGCCUGUAAGACUGGGAUAACUCCGGGAAACCGGAGCUAAUACCGGAUAGUUCCUUGAACCGCAUGGUUCAAGGAUGAAAGACGGUUUCGGCUGUCACUUACAGAUGGACCCGCGGCGCAUUAGCUAGUUGGUGAGGUAACGGCUCACCAAGGCGACGAUGCGUAGCCGACCUGAGAGGGUGAUCGGCCACACUGGGACUGAGACACGGCCCAGACUCCUACGGGAGGCAGCAGUAGGGAAUCUUCCGCAAUGGACGAAAGUCUGACGGAGCAACGCCGCGUGAGUGAUGAAGGUUUUCGGAUCGUAAAGCUCUGUUGUUAGGGAAGAACAAGUGCAAGAGUAACUGCUUGCACCUUGACGGUACCUAACCAGAAAGCCACGGCUAACUACGUGCCAGCAGCCGCGGUAAUACGUAGGUGGCAAGCGUUGUCCGGAAUUAUUGGGCGUAAAGGGCUCGCAGGCGGUUUCUUAAGUCUGAUGUGAAAGCCCCCGGCUCAACCGGGGAGGGUCAUUGGAAACUGGGAAACUUGAGUGCAGAA